RNAcentral lists this unclassified non-coding RNA (2396 nucleotides) under Nilaparvata lugens (brown planthopper). RNAcentral describes it as "protein CROWDED NUCLEI 2, transcript variant X5". The record is from RNAcentral. Lineage: Eukaryota; Metazoa; Arthropoda; Insecta; Hemiptera; Delphacidae.
GGGGUAAGAGGAGUAGUGUUGUUCAUCCAAAAACUCUUCAAAACUUUGUAAAUUUUCCAGUUUUUUCAUGUCUAAAAACGUUUUAUAAAUGAUUGAAUUGUUUUAAUUUAUUAAUUCUAAAAUUUUUAGAAUUUAUGCUUCAAUUAUGUCAUCAAACUAGGGAAUUACAUAAUCCCAUUAUGAUUUCUACAAGUGAUCCAGGCGUAUUAAAUGAUUCUAUUUUUAAAGCAUUCUUAAAUUUAUUCGACAAAUGUGACACUGGGAAAUCAAACGUUGUUCAAAAGACUGAUCUUGUUAAAGUCAUUUCAUCAUCAGCGGGUGACCAAAACCCCAACAUUGAAGACAUAAUAGAAAACAUUCUUGGACUGCAAGAUGACAACCAGUUGAUUACAAAAAAUGAAUUCAUCAGAAAAAUUGAGAAAUAUAUCGAUAGCAAUCAGGAAUGUGUCGGAACUCCCAAAGAGCAAGUUACCACUGAUUACUUCUAUUAUUCACCUCACCACUGCUCGACACCAAGUGACAGUUCGUCGAACGAAUUGAAGAGAUUGGAAACAAUCUGUGAUGACUUGACGGUGCAAGUUCAAAACGCCGAGGAACAGAACACAAAACUCAGACAUGAGAAUUAUCUGCUCAGUACCAGCUACAAUCAGCUGUCGAUCCGUAGCAGAGAACAGCAACAGCUGUUGGACGAGCUGCAGCUGGAUGUGACAAAGAGGGAGACUCGCUGUUCGACUCUGCAGCGCCGGCUGGCCGACUGCGAGCAGCUGUUGGAGAAGGAGCGAGAGAGAGGUCACGAGCUGCAGGCCACUGUGAAGAGAAAGAGCGACGAUCUUGCCGCUGUUGUGGCGGUGUUGAAGGGGGCGCAAAAGGAGAACGAUGAACGGAGAGGGGAGAUGGUCGAACUGGAGAGAAAGUUGGAACUGAAGGAAGACGAAUGCGCGGCUUGCUGUAAGAAACUGUCUGACCUUGAGAGCGUUUUUGAGAGUGAGAUGGUCGACUGCCUGGAGAAGAUAGAGACUCUCGAGAAGAGAAAUCAUUUUCUCGAAGUGGAAAUGAUACAGGCCUUGAAUAGAAUUGAGGAGCUGGAAGGUUUGAACAAGGAUUUAGAAAUAAAACAUAGAAUCCUGGAGGAUUCAACUGCACUGAAUGUUGGAGAACCUUGUUUUGAAUCGACUGUCACUGAAAAUGAGAUCAAUGAAGAAUCUUGUGAAAUGGACACUCAUGAGGUUGAUCACGUAAAACCUUCGACAGGAGAUAGUGGAUGCUUCGACACGUUACCUUCUCUCAGAGACGAAAUUGAAGCUGUGGGUGAAAGCGUUGAUACAUUUGUGUCUUUUGAGGAGUUUGUAAAUCAGGAACAGUCAGAUCUUGCUAAUCUUUAUAAAAUCAACGAUCAGCAGAAAACUAUUGAUUCCCUGACAGAAUUGGUAGCAACAGAACGGCAGAAUAACAAAUUGAGUAGUGAAGAAUUGGAAAAGUGUAAAAGGGAAUUGUGUAAAUUUCAAGAGACCGUUGAAAUUCUGAAACAAGAAAAGCAAAGACUGGAAGAUGAGUGGAAAAUUUAUAAGUUGCGACAGGCAGAAAGUACCAGUCAGACUAAGAAGGAAAUUUUGAAACCUGCUGAAAGUUGUACAACAGUUGCAACUCUAGACCCGAAGUUUCGGGACAACAUUAAAAUGCAGCAACUAACCAUUCAGAAAUUGGUUGGCAAGAUUUCAAAGCUACGCUCCGAAGUUGUGAGCGAGCCAAAGUACAAGGACCUCAAUCCGACAUCGAAAAUUAUUGUAGAUGGCAGAAUAAACGAUACACAGAAAACUACCUUGCAAAUUUUAGAAAGUGAAGUUGAUUCAAAUGAAGAUGAAAUUACCGAUGUGGCCCUAGUUGUGUAUCAACCUCUAGAUGAAAUGAAGGCAGAUAAUUGCUCAAAAUCGUCCACUAGAAAAAAGCGCAAGAGAACUCCUAGUCGCCUGGGGUCCUACAGUGGACUCUGAGAGAGAGCGCAGUCAGCUGUCUGUCAUCCUCGCCAUCAGCUGUUGUCCGUCAGCUGAUUUGUCCCUAUGUGCACUUCAGGUGGAAUGAGCCUCCGCCUUUCUGAAGACUGACUCAUCUUCAAUAUUAUGGAAGCAUUCAAUUGUGAUACGACAUUAGACAACGUUUUACUCAUUAACUCACUUCAUAAUCUAAAGACUUUCCUUCAUUAUCAUGAAGGCAUUAGACAAAGUGUUACUUAUCAAGUUACUUAAAAUCUAAUAUCUACCUCCAUUAUCAAUGAUACUUGAUGAUAAAUGUUUAGUAGUUUAAAUCUGUAAUAGUUAAUAUAUUUCUCAAACUAGUGAUUUUUAUAGUUUCCACUUAUCAAUGCAUAGCAAUACUGGAUUAUUGUGUUUUGUUGCUAG